GGCUCCGUAGCUCAGUUGGAUAGAGCAACAGAUUUCUAAUCUGUGGGUCGUGGGUUCGAAUCCCUCCGGAGUCG
RNAcentral lists this transfer RNA (74 nucleotides) under Prevotellaceae bacterium. RNAcentral's name for it is "tRNA-Arg". It matches the Rfam family "tRNA". Rfam says of the family: Transfer RNA (tRNA) molecules are approximately 80 nucleotides in length. Their secondary structure includes four short double-helical elements and three loops (D, anti-codon, and T loops). Further hydrogen bonds mediate the characteristic L-shaped molecular structure. tRNAs have two regions of fundamental functional importance: the anti-codon, which is responsible for specific mRNA codon recognition, and the 3' end, to which the tRNAs corresponding amino acid is attached (by aminoacyl-tRNA synthetases). tRNAs cope with the degeneracy of the genetic code in two manners: having more than one tRNA (with a specific anti-codon) for a particular amino acid; and 'wobble' base-pairing, i.e. permitting non-standard base-pairing at the 3rd anti-codon position. Lineage: Bacteria; Pseudomonadati; Bacteroidota; Bacteroidia; Bacteroidales; Prevotellaceae. The record is from RNAcentral.